UCUGAAUCCUCUUCAGCACACUGAAGGGUCCCCUCGGCACCGGCGAUGUUGGUUUCUGGGUUUCGGCACCACUUGUCGCGCGCCCAAUGUCCCGCCAGCAAGAACGACGCGCGGCAACAGGAUUCUUCUGCUAGCAAGCCUUUACUGUGUUACAGCUCUUCUUAGUGUUACAGCUCUUCUCAGUGUUACAGCUCUUCUUAGUGUUACAGCUCUCUUGAACAGGGACCCCGAGCAGCAAAAUCGCUCGGCUUAUAUAGACAACAGUAUGCUAAUUAUCUCUCAGGGAUUGGUGGGGCUUGGAUCACCCCACUACUUGUCCUCCAGGGAUUGGCGGAGAAUGAAUCACCUCAUUAGCAUAUUAAGGGUCAACUAACACCUGGUGCAUAAACCGCACAUGUGCAGUACCGCUGUUCACCACUAGAGGGAGCCCUAGCAAGGGGACAAGCCUGCACAUGCGCAGUAAGUCGUUUAUAUCCAGACAAGGCUGGAUGUCGGCGCCAUCUUUGUUUCGCCGCGCCGCUCUCUACAGUACCGCAUUUUCUUUAUUCAUUGUUCAGCUGAGGGAUAUCUAGGAUGGUUCCCAUUUCUGGCUUUUAUGAAUAAAGCUGCUGUGAACAUAGUUGAGUAAGUAUCCUUGUGGGAUGGUGGAGCAUCUUUUGGUAUAUGCCCAGGAGUGGUUUUCUUAAGUUCUGUUUUCUGUCACACUUCCACCACCAUUUUGUGACUCUCUUUCAUCUAUCACAUGACU
Molecule: long non-coding RNA, 748 nt
Filed under: Rattus norvegicus (Norway rat)
Lineage: Eukaryota; Metazoa; Chordata; Mammalia; Rodentia; Muridae
Description: long non-coding RNA NONRATT000181
Source: RNAcentral